Long non-coding RNA from Epinephelus moara (kelp grouper), 337 nucleotides. RefSeq lists it as uncharacterized. The transcript is spliced from 4 exons. The record is from RefSeq and is a predicted model, not a curated record. Lineage: Eukaryota; Metazoa; Chordata; Actinopteri; Perciformes; Serranidae.
AAUGACAAAUGAAGAUGGCGGAGCAUGAAUGUAGUUUCCACGUCUGUCCAGAGACUGCUGAAAACAGAGAAGGUCAAACACCUGCGGCAGACGGUCACGGAUACGCAGGAGUUCAUCUGUUCAUUCCAGACUGAGGCUCCACAGAAGAGAGGCCCCUGCUCAGCACAAGAUCGAUCCCUGCAGGAGAGUUAAAGCUCAGGACCUCAUGGACCCACUGCCUUUUUUGACCAUCAUGCCAGGGUGCAAGCACCAGUCACAACCAUAUUCACCGUUGAAUCGUUUGCAAUUCCGGAGGAGUGGCCUCGCAACGGCAUCAGAGGAGCAAACCAAGGAGAAG